Molecule: ribosomal RNA, 190 nt
Filed under: uncultured bacterium
Lineage: Bacteria
Description: partial 16S ribosomal RNA
Rfam family: Bacterial small subunit ribosomal RNA
Source: RNAcentral
ACCCCGCCUGCAUGAAGUCGGAAUUGCUAGUAAUCGCGGAUCAGCAUGCCGCGGUGAAUACGUUCUCGGGCCUUGUACACACCGCCCGUCACACCAUGGGAGUCGGUAACACCCGAAGUCUGUAGCUUGACGCAAGAGGGCGCAGCCGAAGGUGGGAUUGAUGACUGGGGUGAAGUCGUAACAAGGUACC